This is a long non-coding RNA of Chenopodium quinoa (quinoa), 360 nucleotides long. RefSeq lists it as uncharacterized. The record is from RefSeq and is a predicted model, not a curated record. Lineage: Eukaryota; Viridiplantae; Streptophyta; Magnoliopsida; Caryophyllales; Amaranthaceae. The transcript is spliced from 2 exons.
AAAAAAUUCGGCUUCUCCUUCCCUUAGCCCCUCUAUCUCUCUCUCAAAUUCAUUCUCUCUCAUCAACCCUCUCUCCUUUUAUUUUCUGAUCUUUCAUUCAGAGCUCCUUCGUUCUCUCUCAUCUCUCAUCUGCAUGCAUCUCAGAUCUCUCUAAACUCUCAAAUCCUUCGUUCUUCUUCAAUUAUAGCUACCAAGCAAGGUAGUAUUACAACUACAGCAAUUUCUCAUAGACGAAGGAUUCAAGAUCCAAGGAUUUGGUGUUUUGUUGUUCAUUGUUACGUUUUUAUUUAUAUAAUUUUUUAUAAAUUGUAAAAUAACAAUUUAUUUAAUAUAAUAUAUUCAUGUAUAUUAUGGUGUUCA